RNAcentral lists this ribosomal RNA (474 nucleotides) under uncultured organism. RNAcentral's name for it is "partial 16S ribosomal RNA". It matches the Rfam family "Bacterial small subunit ribosomal RNA", at positions 333 to 798 of the family's 1533-position model. The record is from RNAcentral.
ACACUCCUGCGGGAGGCAGCAGUGGGGAAUUUUGGACAAUGGGCGAAAGCCUGAUCCAGCAAUGCCGCGUGAGUGAAGAAGGCCUUCGGGUUGUAAAGCUCUUUUGUCAGGGAAGAAACGGUGAAAGCUAAUAUCUUUUGCUAAUGACGGUACCUGAAGAAUAAGCACCGGCUAACUACGUGCCAGCAGCCGCGGUAAUACGUAGGGUGCAAGCGUUAAUCGGAAUUACUGGGCGUAAAGCGUGCGCAGGCGGUUUUGUAAGUCUGAUGUGAAAUCCCCGGGCUCAACCUGGGAAUUGCAUUGGAGACUGCAAGGCUAGAAUCUGGCAGAGGGGGGUAGAAUUCCACGUGUAGCAGUGAAAUGCGUAGAUAUGUGGAGGAACACCGAUGGCGAAGGCAGCCCCCUGGGUCAAGAUUGACGCUCAUGCACGAAAGCGUGGGGAGCAAACAGGAUUAGAAACCUCUGUAGUCCCAU